UACGGGGGGGGCAAGCGUUGUUCGGAAUUACUGGGCGUAAAGGGCUCGUAGGUGGCCAACUAAGUCAGACGUGAAAUCCCACGGCUUAACCGUGGAACUGCUUGGUAUACUGCUUAUCUUGGGCCACUUAGGGGCUACCGGAACAAACGGUGGAGCGGUGAAAUUCGUAGAUAUCGUUUGGAACGCCAAUGGUGAAAACAGGUAGCUGGGAGUGUGCCGACGCUGAGACACGAAAGCCAGGGGAGCGAACGGG
This 253-nucleotide ribosomal RNA is filed under the name uncultured bacterium. RNAcentral describes it as "partial 16S ribosomal RNA". It matches the Rfam family "Bacterial small subunit ribosomal RNA", at positions 524 to 776 of the family's 1533-position model. The record is from RNAcentral.